AAUUGACGGCAUUGAACUUCUCGUUUCCAAGAUGCUAAACUAUAGGUGUUUCGUUCCUGACACUUUCAUGACAAUACCUGAGACGAGUAGCGAGACGUAGCUUUCUGAAUUAUUUACUUUUUGUUUGGUUGUGUGGUUAUGGUUUCAUAUCAACUCGCUAAGGAAAACAACUGAAGGAAGAAAUAAACAAAUAUAUAUUCGUGAAAAAUAGUGUACUAUAGCUGCAAUAAGAUACACAGGUCGAAGGCCACUGAUCAUUCAACAAGAGCCAAAGGUUGUACCGCUCAUGGCAACUCUGCACGAGCUGAAGAUUGUACCGUCCAGUGACCAUUCUACCCUGGAUUCCUCGAGUCAAGAGAGACGCACCACGAUUGAUAUGAGGUACAGACUAGGGGGGCGUCGCUGAUCAAUGGUCAGUUAGACUCCAAUAGGAAGUAUCCCGUGUCGGCCACACAUACAUAGUACUGGAGACUGCAACAUCCCAAUUAUGAGAUCUUUGUAAUACUAACCUCGAGCCAACCGCGAGUAAUCGGUUACAUAUUACUAACAUAGUUGUGAGACAAAAAUUGUCAAAAUAUUGGACUCCCGGCCCCGUCAGACUAACGCCACAUGUGCCUUAAUAAAAUAUAUAUUUUGGGAAAAAAAAAUUAUAUAUUAUUCAAUAUUUUUGGGGGACAGUGAGGAUUUGAUGAGCUUGUGAGUGUGAUAAAAGUGCUAUAAGUCUAAGAAAUCUGUUGUCCAACUCCUCCACAGAUAAUCGUUCAUCUCGCGGUUCUCUAUCAUGCCAAAAUUAUAUUGUGAAUAUUUUAUUUACUUCAGAUGCCGUAUUAUUGUGCAGUAAAAGGAUGUGGAAACAAGGUUCUCAUAACGAAAAAUAACCCGGACAUUGUUUACCACACUUUUCUCCGAGAUGGAGAUAGACUUCAUAAAUGGAUACUUUCUGUGGCCAAUCGAAGGAUUGGAAACCUCAGAAAAAUCAAGGUAUAUGCUCACGUCAUUUCCAUAGCAGCAGCUACGAUGACCGACAUCAAAUGCGCCAUGAACUUAAUGGUACGAGGAAAUAUAGGAUGUUGAAUUCGAAAGUUAAA
This is a long non-coding RNA of Toxorhynchites rutilus septentrionalis, 1088 nucleotides long. RefSeq lists it as uncharacterized. The record is from RefSeq and is a predicted model, not a curated record. Lineage: Eukaryota; Metazoa; Arthropoda; Insecta; Diptera; Culicidae. The transcript is spliced from 2 exons.